This is a long non-coding RNA of Struthio camelus australis, 2277 nucleotides long. NCBI's taxonomy places the organism in Eukaryota, Metazoa, Chordata, Aves, Struthioniformes, Struthionidae. The record is from Ensembl.
CUGAUGUUUUCCUUUUCUUAGUUUUCUUAUUUAAGGUUGUUCAAUAUAGAUAGAUCAAACCUCUCGAAAUAGUACUCCUGCAGAACAGUACUAAGACGUAAUGAUCAGUACAAUCCUAAUGACGUUGCUCCUUUAGCCUGUCUGCCUUAUGUAUUUGCAAUGUUGACUGUAUUUAUAAUCACUUCUCUCAGCUGAAGGAGACAGUAAUUAUUAGUACUGUAUUGGCUGUUUACCAGGUUUUCCCUAACAGCUGUGUCUAUUGCUGUAAUAACCUACUUUUGAGCUGAGGAUUUUGCAUUCAUUUAGGCGAGCUCAUUAUCUUUCACUAGCUAUGUUUCAUAAAGAAAAUGGUGCUUUCGUACUUCUAAGUACUGAUACAACACUUUUGAGCUGACUACACUGCAAAAGGAAGGUCAAUGCAAUCAUCAGGGACUCAGAUAUUUUUGAAGAGAGACGUACCCCACACAGAGUAUGUAUCUUGUAAGGAAAUGGGAUUGUGUUGUUACAGGACAGGGUCCUUUAACAUGCUAGCGGAGAACCAAUAUGGUUUUAACAUCCUAGGACAUGCUGCUGCCAAUUUCUUUUUUCUCCCAGAAGGUGAGAACAGGCAUCCACCACGUCCAGCUCUUCCCGUGCUGACAGCUGUCAUCAUCCUCCUCUCUUCCGCGGCAUGGCCCUGCCAAGGAAUUGUGUGGAAGGCCAGCUACAUCCAGGCAAACACGUGGAAUUCAACCUGUUACACUCGAAUCUGUUUUGCCUCCCCUGUUCCUAUACCAUCUGUGCCUGAUGAUGACCUGGAUGAUCCUUCAUUGCCAUCUUCUACUACCUUCUAUUAGAGUCAGUGGUAUCACUGCCAUCUGUCAACUUGCCCAUGCAACUACAUUUUUUCAGGUACAUUAUUACUACCUUGUGUUUAUUUUUAUAUAAUAUCAUCAUACUAUAACUAAUUAUUGUCUACAUGCUAUCAUUUAUUUAAAGGUAUCUUUAUGCAUACAAGUAGGUAUGGGGGCAAUAGGGAUUUUGGUAAAGGGGGCUGGAACACAUGCCCCUUUUUUUGUGUUGAAACCACAGUUUGCAAAUGCUGAUUUUGCUACUACGGAAUUCUCUUAAGAACAUGUGUGUCAGCAUCAGAAAGGGAUUGCUGUGGGCUGAUCCCAACCUUGGUAAGCACAACCCACCCUUACCCAGUGCUCUCAGCCACUUCUUCCUGGCAAACCAUAAUUAUUUGAACUUUCUGGAGAUGUCGAUAAUAUGGGAGAAAAAGGAUCUGUUAUCCUCUCCCUAUCUCCUUCCCUGUUUUGGAAUGGAGGGAGAAAACUGAAGUAGCUACAGUCUUCAGUAGUUAGUUGCUUAUUAAAAAAAAACAAACUCUUAUUCAUUUCCUUGAGAAGCUGAACUGUAUUAUGUAGAACUAGUUGUGGUGUAUAAAGUAGUGCUAGGUAUGUGUACGUAGUACAUCAGUUCUUUACUUCUGAAUAGACCAAAAAUACCUAUUUUCUGAGAUUGCUGUUUUGUGCAUUGAUAUACUCUAGGUGUAUUUCUGGUCACUAAAAAGGGGGAGGUAAAAAUUUGAAAGUAGAAACUAUUAAAGGGUUCAUUUGUAAACAAAAAGCAAGGCUAUACUGCAGAAAGCUAAUAAUGCAGCUAUUGAAAACCUUCUCGUUUCUACAGAGUUCAGGAAAAUAAGCGUGACGUUCAUAGAUACCGCUGUGUGUAUUUGUGUAUAGUUGAUAAUGGAGCACAAUGUUAAGGGCAGCAGUAAAUUUGACCUGCAAUAUAUAGGACUUAGAAUGACUUAAUACAAGAUGCUUUGAGAUAAAGUAACUCAAAUUGACAUGCUAACUAUAGAAAAAGCAUUUCAAAGUGCAGCAGGAAAAGUCUAAUUCAGACCAUAUUCAGACCGAAAUAUCCUUUCGAUGAUUAUACUGAGAUAACACAUUUCAUCUAAUAAUUUUUUUCCUUCAGUUUUUCCUAAAAUGUCCCUAUUCCUACAUCAAGCCCAAGGCAGAGGUAGUGAGAAAAAGGAGAGGGAUUAUUUUCUCAGAACAGCUUUUCCUGCUGGCCUUGUCAUCUGUAGCCAGAGGAGGACAGGUAUGAACAGACUGGUGAAACUGGACCAUGACACAGGACAAGAGUGAGUAAGGCAGGACUUUCUCCUAAAAGCUUAAGACCCUGUGCACCAACCAUUUGUCAAAAAUGCCAAAACUGUAGUGAGAAAAAGGAGUAUCUUAGGGGCUAUUUAAAUAAAGGCUGCACAUCUAGUUGGAAAAAUGGACA